AACGCAUUCCUAUCUAUAGCCGAGGAUGAUCUGCAAGCUGUGUCGACAUUUCCCGAGCCACAGAUAUGCACAGAGUUGUCGGUACCAUUGACGAGCAUAACCCGAACAUUCAAGUUGCUUUUGCUUGAGAAUCAUCGCAGUGCCGUAGGUGAAGGAGACGUAGCCGAUGGUUUCUGUCUUCGUCAUGACCGAGAGUGGAUGGAGCGUUUAUGGAAAGGUGUCUGUCAGGCUGGCCAAGCUCGGCAGCCAUUACAAUUUUCAACCUGUAUGCUGCUGGUCUGGGUAUUGGAGGCUUGAUGAUGCAUAGAUGGAGACUCAGUGCGGUCUGUUUGUUUGAAUGCAGAUAUUGACUGGAUGUGGGACUGACUGGAUGUGCGACUGCACGAUGUGGAGGUUGAGUCUCUUUCCUUGUUUUGGGGCAGCAGAGAUAGCUCUUGCUAUCCUCAGGAGCUGAUCGACCCUGCCCUUGCGAGAUCACGUUUUUCCUGUCGCCUGUUGUCUCCGUUUUGUGACUCGUUCGUGUAUGUGCUUGUUUUGUUUGUCAUUCUCAAGAAUUUCUUUUGCAUGUCACUAACUCUCGCCUUUUAGUCUUUGUGUUUGCAUGCAGACACUGACCCGAUUUGCGACUGCUUGGCUGACUGCCCAAAGUGGAGGUUGAGUCUCUUUGCUUAUAUUUGGGUAGCAGGGAUAGCUCUUGCAUUCCUCAGGAGCUGAUCGACCCCGCCUUUGCGAGAUCACGUUUGUCCUGUCUCCCGUUGUAUCCGUUUUGUGACUCGUUCGUGUAUAUGCUUGUUUUGUUUGUCAUUCCUAAGAAUUUUUUUGCGUGUCACUAACUCUCGUUUUUUAGUCUUUGUGUUUGCACGCAGAUACUGACUGGAUGUGCGACUGCUUGGCUGAUGUCGUACAUCAGUGCCACUUACUGCAGCUCCCAACCUGCAUACUUGGAGGCUCCUGACCUAACCUGGCGAAGACUGGACCACUAGUCUCAACACCUGCGCAAUUUACAUAUAGUGAGCAGUCGUGGCAUUAGCGUCUGGCUUCCAUGUCUGAGUUAUCUACAGACACCCCAAAGUUAUACACAGUGACGAGGUAGUAAAAUGUGCUUCUUUGUACAUGUACAUUGCGUGCUAUUUUACAUAACUGAAAUGGUAUUGAAAUACCUGGAUGAUUUACUGCUGUAUAUCGCACCGUGAUCUGUCAUUGCAAUGUUAGUCAUACAGUACAUAUUUUUGAAAUGGUUUCUACAUUGAUAAUAUUGUGAUUAACAGGACCUUACAAAGCAUGAAGGAGAUAUGUAUUUAUAACAAUAUUUUUCACUACGUAUCAUGUAGAUUUGAGAGGAAUCUCUUGCUAAAAAUACAAAAUAUAGGCAAUAACUUCCAAGUUGAGUUUAUACUCUUGCUUUGUAUUCAAGGUGGGUUUCAGAUGUUGUUACAUUUAACAUUUGUGAAGAUAGUUGUGUGUUGCCAUGUCGGUUUUAUAUGUGUAAGUCUGACCGAAUAUUCCAGACCAAACCAUGUACAUAUAGGUUGUCCGUGUUAUGCACUGCCGGCUUGUGGGUAUGCUGUAAUAUUGUUGUUCAAAACCUGGCUCCAAUUAAUUAUGUGCAAAUGUUGGCAUGGCAAAAGAAGUCGGAAAACUAAAAUGUAUCUCAUACACAUAUGAGUUAAAUUGCAUAUACAUAUAAGUUGAAUCUCGCACAAACGACUUACGCUGUAUGUGGGUUCUUGCGUGACUUGUUCACUAAUAUCCAGCUGAGUAAUUUUAGCUCUAACAAAUGACUUGAAUCUUAUACCCAUAAUUAUGCCAUAAGAGAGAGAGGCAAUUCACCAUCUCUCUAAUAAAGCUUCGUACUGUACGAAAAACAGCAUACAGGUAAUUACUGUUCCCUGUUGAUUACCUUGAAUAUGCAAGAUACCUGACAGCUCAGAUUCUAAUUUUCUUCAGAGAUAUUGCACCUCUAUUUUUCUAUUAAUAUUUUCAAAAAUAUUGCACUUCAAUAAGGUAUCAUUGAAGCAUUCAUUUUUAUAAUUGGGUAGUCUAUGUAAGAAUCCAUGUAUGCAAGAACAGAAUUCAGUUACCAUAGUUUGUUGAAACAGCUUGUAUGCAGUAAUAUGACAAAUUAUAAAACUGUAAGAAGCUGUAGUUUAUGUUUUAUUUUCAUUUUUUGUAGAAAUGCUGAUUUUUUAAUUAGUUUUGUUUUUCUACUGUCGCAUGAUUGAUCGUCUGUGCGAGUCGCGUAAAAGCAGACGUUAAUACAGAUUUUGCAGAUUUCACUUCACAUUUUACUGGAAGCAACCGACUCGAAACCUAAGACAAUUAUUUGUAGAGUGCAGUUAUUCGAUGAGUACAGUGUUUUUAUUCAUGCUGUAUUGCCGGUCAAAAAUUUUUCAUGAAAAAUGUUUGAAUAUUGGACAAUCUAUUGAUUCUUUCAGUCAGCUUAAAUUAUGUUAAAGACCUCGAGCUUUUUAAAAACUUCAAGUGCAAAUCAAUUCAUUUUUGCAUUGACGAUCUUGAACUCGAAUAUCGUUUAGAAACAUCUGAAGUAUGUUUCAAAUUGGUGCACUUUCAUGUAUUU
RNA transcript from Acanthaster planci (crown-of-thorns starfish), 2578 nucleotides. It is a transcript of the gene named somatostatin receptor type 4-like, with no coding region annotated. The record is from RefSeq and is a predicted model, not a curated record. NCBI's taxonomy places the organism in Eukaryota, Metazoa, Echinodermata, Asteroidea, Valvatida, Acanthasteridae.